RNAcentral lists this ribosomal RNA (325 nucleotides) under uncultured eukaryote. RNAcentral describes it as "partial 18S ribosomal RNA". It matches the Rfam family "Eukaryotic small subunit ribosomal RNA", at positions 1470 to 1796 of the family's 1831-position model. The record is from RNAcentral.
CCCUUAGAUGUUCUGGGCCGCACGCGCGCUACACUGAUGCAUUCAACGAGCCUAUCCUUGACCGACAGGUCCGGGUAAUCUUUGAAUCUGCAUCGUGACGGGGAUAGAUUAUUGCAAUUAUUAAUCUUCAACGAGGAAUGCCUAGUAGGCGCAAGUCAUCAGCUUGCGUCGAUUACGUCCCUGCCCUUUGUACACACCGCCCGUCGCUCCUACCGAUUGGGUGUGCUGGUGAAAUGUUCGGAUCGGCCGUUUGUCGCGGUUUCCGCGGCUCGUGGCUGAGAAGUUCAUUGAACCCUCCCACCUAGAGGAAGGAGAAGUCGUAACA